CAUGUCUCCCUAAGGUGUGUAAAGAUCCUGCCCUUGAGUGUGGAUUACCCUCAGUGUUACUCCUUGAGGCUGAGAGAAAGGGAUUUGCCCACAGGCAAAUCAUGGGCUAAAUCAGAGACUCACAGGAGCUCCUAUAGAUUCCUUGGCUGAAUUACUGAAAAUGCAUCUCAGGACUCCGAGACCUGUGUAUGGUCAUGCACAGUCAAAUGAAAGAAGACCCUAAAAGUAAGCCAACUGCUGGAGGAGUGCUGUGGAUGCCUGAUGCUCCUUCUGUUACUCUCUGCUGUGGAACUGGGAGUAGUGAUGCAGAAACUGUUUUGGACUGA
This 326-nucleotide long non-coding RNA is filed under the name Taeniopygia guttata (zebra finch). Its description in RNAcentral is "lncRNA (ENSTGUG00000024476.1)". The record is from RNAcentral. Lineage: Eukaryota; Metazoa; Chordata; Aves; Passeriformes; Estrildidae.